CGGAGAUGGACUUCGAGUCCGCGACGAG
RNAcentral lists this small RNA (28 nucleotides) under Bombyx mori (domestic silkworm). Its description in RNAcentral is "ovarian small RNA-14453". Lineage: Eukaryota; Metazoa; Arthropoda; Insecta; Lepidoptera; Bombycidae. The record is from RNAcentral.